ACACAUGCAAGUCGAGGGGCAGCGGGAGGAGUGCUUGCACUUCUUGCCGGCGACCGGCGCACGGGUGAGUAACACGUAUGCAACCUGCCUCCGUCAGGGGGACAACCCGGCGAAAGCCGGGCUAAUCCCGCGUAUAUUCCGUGAGGGCAUCCUUACGGAAGGAAAGGCUUCGGCCGGACGGGGAUGGGCAUGCGGCGCAUUAGGUAGUCGGGGGUGUAACGGACCACCGAGCCGACGAUGCGUAGGGGUUCUGAGAGGAAGGUCCCCCACACUGGUACUGAGACACGGACCAGACUCCUACGGGAGGCAGCAGUGAGGAAUAUUGGUCAAUGGUCGGAAGACUGAACCAGCCAAGCCGCGUGAAGGAAGAAGGUGCUCGGCAUCGUAAACUUCUUUUGUCAGGGAACAAAGGGCGGUACGUGUACCGCUGUGAGUGUACCUGAAGAAAAAGCAUCGGCUAACUCCGUGCCAGCAGCCGCGGUAAUACGGAGGAUGCGAGCGUUAUCCGGAUUUAUUGGGUUUAAAGGGUGCGCAGGCGGCGCGGUAAGUCAGCGGUAAAAGCCCGGGGCUCAACCCCGGCGAGCCGUUGAAACUGCCGUGCUAGAGUAAGGUCGAGGUAUGCGGAAUGCGCGGUGUAGCGGUGAAAUGCAUAGAUAUCGCGCAGAACUCCGAUUGCGAAGGCAGCAUACCGG
Molecule: ribosomal RNA, 692 nt
Filed under: uncultured bacterium
Lineage: Bacteria
Description: bacterial SSU rRNA
Rfam family: Bacterial small subunit ribosomal RNA
Source: RNAcentral